GGCUCAAAUUUGAAGUAGAAUAGAUGAGAAUGAUCACCUGACCUUACUGAACUACUCUACUUCGAGUUUGUGCCC
This is a non-coding RNA of Haemonchus contortus (barber pole worm), 75 nucleotides long. Lineage: Eukaryota; Metazoa; Nematoda; Chromadorea; Rhabditida; Trichostrongylidae. The record is from Rfam.